RNAcentral lists this ribosomal RNA (733 nucleotides) under uncultured bacterium. Its description in RNAcentral is "bacterial SSU rRNA". It matches the Rfam family "Bacterial small subunit ribosomal RNA", at positions 57 to 766 of the family's 1533-position model. The record is from RNAcentral.
GCAGUCGAACGAGAAAGCACCCUUCGGGGUGUGAGUAGAGUGGCGAACGGGUGAGUNNCGCGUGGGGAACCUGCCCCUGAGCGGGGGAUAACGCUCCUAACGGAGCGCUAAUACCGCAUGACACCGGAACCCGGCAUCGGGAUCCGGUCAAAGAUGGCCUCUGUUUCAAGCUGUCACUUAGGGAUGGCCCCGCGUCCGAUUAGCUUGUUGGUAGGGUAACGGCCUACCAAGGCGACGAUCGGUAGCCGGCCUGAGAGGGUGUCCGGCCACACUGGGACUGAGAUACGGCCCAGACUCCUACGGGAGGCAGCAGUCGAGAGGCUUCCACAAUGGGGGAAACCCUGAUGGAGCGACGCCGCGUGGGUGAGGAAGGUCUUCGGAUCGUAAAACCCUGUCAGGAGGGAAGAAAACCGGAUUGGCUAAUACCCUUUCCGCUUGACGGUACCUCCAGAGGAAGCUCCGGCUAACUCCGUGCCAGCAGCCGCGGUAACACGGAGGGAGCAAACGUUGUUCGGAAUCACUGGGCGUAAAGGGCGCGUAGGCGGCUUCUUAAGUCGGGGGUGAAAUCCUAUGGCUCAACCAUAGGCCUGCCCCCGAAACUGGGUAGCUUGAGUCCGUGAGAGGAAAGCGGAAUUCCUGGUGUAUCGGUGAAAUGAGUUGAUAUCAGGAGGAACACCGGUGGCGAAGGCGGCUUUCUGGUGCGGUACUGACGCUGAGGUGCGAAAGCAUGGGG